AGCUCCAAUAGCGUAUAUUAAAGUUGCUGCAGUUAAAAAGCUCGUAGUUGGAUCUCGGGGUACCUGGUCUAGCCGGUAUAGCUCACGCUAAAACUGGUCUGACCCCCCAACGUGAGGUAUUCGUCUCCGGGUGCACUUCAUUGGGUGCUCGUGAGGGGCCUCGUAGUUACUGUGAAAAAAUUAGAGUGUUCAAAGCAGGCUCAUAUGUUCGGAUAGUCGUGCAUGGAAUAACUGAAUUCGUGACUGGCUCUUUUCAGUUGGUCUCGGCGACUGGUCAAAUGAUUAAGAGGGACUGCCGGGAGCAUUGGUAUUUCGGUGUUAGAGGUGAAAUUCUUUGAUCCUCUCCAGACCAACUACUGCGAAAGCAUUUGCCAUGAAUGUCUUCA
Molecule: ribosomal RNA, 386 nt
Filed under: marine Metazoa environmental sample
Lineage: Eukaryota; Metazoa
Description: SSU rRNA
Rfam family: Eukaryotic small subunit ribosomal RNA
Source: RNAcentral